UCUGUCACUUUUCUUUCCUUUUUUCAAAUUAGAAUGAAGAGGAUUUCCUGCAGGAGGGAAUGGUGAAUAAUAAAGCUCUUCCUGUGGAUCCUGAGAAUGAGGCUUAUGAAAUGCCUCCAGAGGAAGAGUAUCAAAACUAUGAACCUGAAGCAUGAAAAUAUUUUCCUUCCUUUAUUAUCUUCUGAAAUCUACUAACUACUGAAGAUGUCCCAUCCUGUACAAGUGCUGAGUUCCAAUGUGCCCAGUCGUAAACUUUUUUUACAGUUUUUACGGUGUCUUUUGAAGUCUUCCAUUAGCAAUGAUUAGAGUAUCUGUGACUGCGUCCACCUCGUUUCAGCAUUUCCUUCUUGCUGAAAUGAAAACUGAUUGGCAGAAUCAUUGUUGUGCUGUGGAUAUUGUGGUUUCAAGUCUAAAAGUUAAAAAAGAAAACGUUAAAUAAAAACACCUAAGUGUCUACUGCGUAUUUCUAACUGUACGUGUUUUGUUGAAACGCUGUCAGUAGUUUGAUAUUGUUUAUGAUACAAUUUUUAUUUGUUUCCUAUAACUCUUCUUUCUGUGCAGAGAUGACUUAUUGUGAGAGGUUUUUUUAUAUAUGUGUAUGCAUUAUACAUUAAAAAUAAUAAUUGAGCAUGAACUAUGCAUCUAUAAAUAUUAGCUGUUGGAAUUUUAUUGGUUUGUGAUGUGUUUUAUUAAUUCAUGUCUGUAAAUAAUGGUGUUCAACUGAAGAAAAUAAAAUGGAACCCAUUAAAAAUUAAUUCCUAAAAUAGUGGUGAUUUAUAACAACUUCUUUCCUAGAGCCCUUGCUAAAGCAUCCAGGCUGCACUGCUUCCUGUCAAAGCACAAAAUCAGCAAAAGGAAGCCUUGUCAAGCACAAGAAACAUGGUGAAGAGGAAUAUUUGGGCUGGUACCUCAGAGGGAACAAAUUAUUGACAAAAUAGAUUAAUUUGUAGUGCUACUAAAGUUUGUUUUAAGGAGAACCCGAGAGUGAAUAAUACCCUUAAUAAUGGGCUGCAGCAUUAGCAGAAGACUGUGAGGCCUUUGGAAGAUGUCCUGUUUCAAGGUUGUUACAAUACUGGGCUGUAUGUAAGAGUGAUGGAUUAGAUACAGUUAGUUUGUCUUUACAAGUCUUAUUUAGCACAAGUUCUGUCUGGUUUUAGAGAGGAUCAUUUUCAUUGUUAUGUUGUCUGGAUACUUUUCCCUAUAGUGAAAAGACUUAAUUGUGAGACUUUUACUUCUCUCCUGGUUUUAUUUUAGCUCAGGGAUGUUGUCUCUAAUCUGAAUGAUACAGUGGGAUUUUUGUUUAUGGUUCUCUAAUCCUGAAUGGGAUUUUGAGCUUCCCUUACAGUAUUUUCAGUGCUCUGGGGUAUAGAUCUUAAAGCAGGUGAAUAUCAUUGUCUGAUCUUUUAAGUAGAUAAACUUCAAAAGAAAAAAGACAAAAAUUCCUGAGGUGUUGUGCAGCCCAAAGCUAGGUCUCCUCCCUCUAGAAGUGGAUUGCCAUCGGUGGCCAUGUGAGUUCUCUGCAAUGGCAGCCAAAUAAUGUGCUGACCGCUGUAAGCACCUGAUUCUCCUGGAAGUACCACAGCUUGUAAGGUGCAGUAUCUGGAAGAUGUGACAAAAUAUUGAUGAAUUAAGAUGUGGUCCUGAUCACAUGAAAAUCCAUAAUACUUUGGCAUUGAAUCCACUAGAACUAGAACAAGUAGAUACUUUUCAUCAAUAAUGAAACUGCUUAAUGGAGCCUGAAGUUCUGUGCACUUUUAUAGGAAUCUUUCAUGAUAACUUGCAACAACCUUCAAGCAAUUUGCAGUCUCCUUCACAGGUGUUGUGUCAGAAUACUCUCUUGACAUGGACUUCCCUACUGUUAAAAUCCAUCCUGAUGCCUCAGUGAAAGAUGUGUUGAUUGUGUCCAUGGAAAUUUAACAUCAGAUUGGGGCACAAUGUAAGAUACUGCUUUUAUGAUUACUAAUGUUAUCUAAGGAUUCUGUUGUUUUAAUAGAAGGAUUUGUGAAGAAAAGUUCAAUGUUAUAGUGAUUUUUUUUUCUGCUCAGUAUGCUAGCAGGAGCUCAUCCACCAAAAACAUCAGCUGAGAGCAGUCGAAUUCCUGAUACUUCAGGAAAUGGCACUGACAGUAGCAGCCCAAGCAGAAUAUGUUUGUCUACUGUUUAUCCCCUCUACCACGGCCCCACAGAUUUUGCCUACUUUGUUGUUUCUGUAUUAGCAAAUCAAAGUGCACCAUUUGGUUGCCCACAAGUAAGUAGUGCACUUCUUAAAUAAGGGGUGGGGAGUGGUAUGUAAUAAAACAAGUAGUAAGAAUAAAUUAACUUCUGAGACUGGCCUAUUGUUUGAGCAUGUAGGAGUUAAUUAUAUUCUUUCCUAGGUUAACACCAGCAACAAAGUCAGAGCUUUCAGGUCAUUAAAGUGUGCCAUAGGUGACCAGUUAAGUCCUUGUGCCUCUUGCAAACAUGCCCUCAGAUGGCCCCAAAAGUCCAUGUGACCCCUGGUUACAGUGGCAGCACAGUGUGCUGCACUGCUCUGGUAAUAAGCUGCAUUUGAAUGAGGCUCCUUGAGGGCUGUCUGGCCAUACUUUCCAAGUUAAAGGCCCUUCUGGUUUAUGGCCUGAGAUGAAUACCAACACAGAGACUGCAAAUGUCAGAAUUACAUUGGAUGCUAAGGCUGAACUAAAUAGAUACUGCUCUAUUCAGAUGUCUUAAAACAUCUGCUCUGGGCACUAAAAAAUGCUUCUACCAUUGUGGUAACUUUUGCUUAAGUAUUGCCUGCCAGAUAGGAGUAUACCUCAGAGACCUCUUUUCCUUAAAAGCCUAGACUUCGGCUCAAACCGAAAGCAAUCUUCUGUCCUCACAUUAUGAGUUAAUAAUGAGUCUUACCAUAUCUGUCCUCCAGCGGAAAAAGCACAUGUUGCUUUUCUUGUUCUAUUUUGACAACUUUAAUUGGUGGUCUUGUAAUGGUUCCUAAUGAGACAUGCAGUAACCUUGUUUUUGUUACUGUAAAUCAUAGUGUUAAUACUUCUGUUGCUUGCAUUUUAUAUGAUGUCUUUCAAGUUGUGUGUUUGUCUGAGGGAUAAGACAGAGAAAUGCUUUCUUCCUGCCAAGACUUUCCUACAUUCCCUCAAGAAGUUGUAGGCAAUGGAAGGUAAAUUACAGCAUCCCAAAUUCAAGGAAAAGUAACAUGCCUGCAUCUGUUCAGGAGGAAUGGAUUUUACUCAUCCUGGUUUUCAUAUCUGCCAUUCUAGGCUCCAUGAUUCUUACAUGGAAGAAUCUGACAUAGUACGAUCGUCAAUAGCAAUGAACUCAGAGCAGAGACCUCUGCCUCCAAGAACUAGGAGACUCAAAAAUUCAAGGAUGGCUAUUUAAUGGGUGAAAUUAUUCCAGGAGCACAACAGAAGACAGAGAGAAAACAACUGCAGAAACCUGUUUCUAGACUUUCCUAAAGCACUGACUUUUUUUUUUUUUUUUUUCAGAUAGAUGGGGCUCAGUGGAUGGUGCUCCAGGUCUGUGAUCUGUAACUGAGAAUAAAGAGAGUCUUCUUGUUGACUUAA
This is a long non-coding RNA of Pogoniulus pusillus (Red-fronted tinkerbird), 3553 nucleotides long. RefSeq lists it as uncharacterized. The transcript is spliced from 3 exons. Lineage: Eukaryota; Metazoa; Chordata; Aves; Piciformes; Lybiidae. The record is from RefSeq and is a predicted model, not a curated record.